Molecule: long non-coding RNA, 224 nt
Filed under: Elaeis guineensis (African oil palm)
Lineage: Eukaryota; Viridiplantae; Streptophyta; Magnoliopsida; Arecales; Arecaceae
Description: long non-coding RNA (EGUI_LNC043154)
Source: RNAcentral
GGUGGCCAAUCCAUGUAGGUUAGGUUGAAGAGUCAUCAAGGUGCUUGAAUAAUCAGCUCAAUCUGACCAAAUAAUGGUCUUCAACUGAUCACAUUUGACUGAUUGACUUUUUGCUACCGAACGAACCCCAGCUCUGGACUUUUCCAUCUGAGGAUGGCAUGAGCAUCCAACUUCUAACUAUGAUGGAUCAGUUCUCGACUUAUCGAUAUCAGUUUAGCACACCA